RNAcentral lists this microRNA (22 nucleotides) under Oikopleura dioica. Its description in RNAcentral is "odi-miR-92a". Its record names the gene odi-miR-92a. The record is from miRBase by way of RNAcentral. Lineage: Eukaryota; Metazoa; Chordata; Appendicularia; Copelata; Oikopleuridae.
UAUUGCACUCGUCCCGGCCUUG